GAUCCUGGCUCAGGAUGAACGCUAGCGGGAGGCUUAACACAUGCAAGUCGAGCGGGAUUCCCUUCGGGGAUGAGAGCGGCGCACGGGUGCGUAACGCGUAUGCAACCUGCCUUAUACAGGGGGAUAGCCCAUGGAAACGUGGAUUAAUAUCCCAUAGGAUUACCGGUUCGCAUGAAUUGGUAAUUAAAACUGCGGUGGUAUAAGAUGGGCAUGCGUCUGAUUAGGUAGUUGGUAGGGUAACGGCCUACCAAGCCGACGAUCAGUAGGGGUUCUGAGAGGAUUACCCCCCACACUGGUACUGAGACACGGACCAGACUCCUACGGGAGGCAGCAGUGAGGAAUAUUGGUCAAUGGGCGAGAGCCUGAACCAGCCAUCCCGCGUGCAGGAUGACGGCCCUAUGGGUUGUAAACUGCUUUUCUGCGCCAAGAAACCUGUCAACGUGUUGACAGCUGACGGUAGCGCAGGAAUAAGCACCGGCUAACUCCGUG
Molecule: ribosomal RNA, 489 nt
Filed under: uncultured bacterium
Lineage: Bacteria
Description: bacterial SSU rRNA
Rfam family: Bacterial small subunit ribosomal RNA
Source: RNAcentral